This 329-nucleotide unclassified non-coding RNA is filed under the name soil metagenome. RNAcentral describes it as "partial contains 5.8S ribosomal RNA, internal transcribed spacer 2, and large subunit ribosomal RNA". The stretch from base 1 to 120 matches the Rfam family "5.8S ribosomal RNA", at positions 35 to 154 of the family's 154-position model. The record is from RNAcentral.
GAUGAAGAACGCAGCGAAAUGCGAUAAGUAAUGUGAAUUGCAGAAUUCCGUGAAUCAUCGAAUCUUUGAACGCAUAUUGCGCCCUCUGGCAUUCCGGGGGGCAUGCCUGUUCGAGCGUCAUUUCACCACUCAAGCCUGGCUUGGUGUUGGGCGACGUCCCCUUUGGGGACGCGCCUCGAAACGCUCGGCGGCGUGGCACCGGCUUUAAGCGUAGCAGAAUCUUUCGCUUUGGAAGUCGGGGCCCCGUCUGCCGGAAGACCUACUCGCAAGGUUGACCUCGGAUCAGGCAGGGAUACCCGCUGAACUUAAGCAUAUCAAUAAGCGGAGGA